GACGAACGCUGGCGGCGUGCCUAAUACAUGCAAGUCGAGCGAGCUUGCCUAGAUGAAUUUGGUGCUUGCACCAAAUGAAACUAGAUACAAGCGAGCGGCGGACGGGUGAGUAACAUGUGGGUAACCUGCCCAAGAGACUGGGAUAACACCUGGAAACAGAUGCUAAUACCGGAUAACAACACUAGACGCAUGUCUAGAGUUUAAAAGAUGGUUCUGCUAUCACUCUUGGAUGGACCUGCGGUGCAUUAGCUAGUUGGUAAGGUAACGGCUUACCAAGGCAAUGAUGCAUAGCCGAGUUGAGAGACUGAUCGGCCACAUUGGGACUGAGACACGGCCCAAACUCCUACGGGAGGCAGCAGUAGGGAAUCUUCCACAAUGGACGCAAGUCUGAUGGAGCAACGCCGCGUGAGUGAAGAAGGGUUUCGGCUCGUAAAGCUCUGUUGGUAGUGAAGAAAGAUAGAGGUAGUAACUGGCCUUUAUUUGACGGUAAUUACUUAGAAAGUCACGGCUAACUACGUGCCAGCAGCCGCGGUAAUACGUAGGUGGCAAGCGUUGUCCGGAUUUAUUGGGCGUAAAGCGAGUGCAGGCGGUUCAAUAAGUCUGAUGUGAAAGCCUUCGGCUCAACCGGAGAAUUGCAUCAGAAACUGUUGAACUUGAGUGCAGAAGAGGAGAGUGGAACUCCAUGUGUAGCGGUGGAAUGCGUAGAUAUAUGGAAGAACACCAGUGGCGAAGGCGGCUCUCUGGUCUGCAACUGACGCUGAGGCUCGAAAGCAUGGGGUAGCGAACAGG
RNAcentral lists this ribosomal RNA (789 nucleotides) under uncultured Lactobacillus sp. RNAcentral's name for it is "bacterial SSU rRNA". It matches the Rfam family "Bacterial small subunit ribosomal RNA", at positions 28 to 776 of the family's 1533-position model. Lineage: Bacteria; Bacillati; Bacillota; Bacilli; Lactobacillales; Lactobacillaceae. The record is from RNAcentral.